GGAUGAACGCUGGCGGCGUGCUUAACACAUGCAAGUCGAACGAUGAAGCCCAGCUUGCUGGGUGGAUUAGUGGCGAACGGGUGAGUAACACGUGAGUAACCUGCCCUUGACUCUGGGAUAAGCCCGGGAAACUGGGUCUAAUACCGGAUAGGAACGUCCACCGCAUGGUGGUUGUUGGAAAGAUUUAUCGGUCAUGGAUGGACUCGCGGCCUAUCAGCUUGUUGGUGAGGUAAUGGCUCACCAAGGCGACGACGGGUAGCCGGCCUGAGAGGGUGACCGGCCACACUGGGACUGAGACACGGCCCAGACUCCUACGGGAGGCAGCAGUGGGGAAUAUUGCACAAUGGGCGAAAGCCUGAUGCAGCGACGCCGCGUGAGGGAUGACGGCCUUCGGGUUGUAAACCUCUUUCAGUAGGGAAGAAGCGAAAGUGACGGUACCUGCAGAAGAAGCACCGGCUAACUACGU
RNAcentral lists this ribosomal RNA (466 nucleotides) under Micrococcus sp. IUP.PS-4. Its description in RNAcentral is "bacterial SSU rRNA". It matches the Rfam family "Bacterial small subunit ribosomal RNA", at positions 27 to 506 of the family's 1533-position model. Lineage: Bacteria; Bacillati; Actinomycetota; Actinomycetes; Micrococcales; Micrococcaceae. The record is from RNAcentral.